RNAcentral lists this long non-coding RNA (443 nucleotides) under Anas platyrhynchos platyrhynchos (common mallard). RNAcentral describes it as "lncRNA (ENSAPLG00000029695.1)". The record is from RNAcentral. Lineage: Eukaryota; Metazoa; Chordata; Aves; Anseriformes; Anatidae.
UAUACUUCACACUAAAAUAAGAUUAACCAUGUUUUAAUUACAGUACAUUGAGGUUGGUUUAUUAAAUGAAAAAUAAUGUGCCUGCUAAGCUUAAAGUUAGAAGAACCAAAUGAAAGACACACAGUUGAGAAGUAUUUUCUUCUUACACAGGAGCCUUUAAAGAGAUGAACACUUUUAAAAGAACUUAAGUGCUUUCUUUUAUUUUCUUGAACUUAGGUGAAGUUCAGACUCCAGUGAACAACAUUAAAGACCAUAAUGCCAGAUACUUUUCAAGCAUAAAUGGAACUAAAAAACAAGCAAAAUUACUCAGGCCUCUGACACAUUUUGGAUCUUUCCCAGGCUGGAGAGACCUACUCUGCCCAGUCUUUCUUCCUAUGGAAGAUACUCCAUACUUGUGAUCUUUGCAGUUCUUCUCUGAAGCUUUUCCAGUUUUAUCUUUUUGA